RNAcentral lists this ribosomal RNA (301 nucleotides) under uncultured bacterium. RNAcentral's name for it is "partial 16S ribosomal RNA". It matches the Rfam family "Bacterial small subunit ribosomal RNA", at positions 509 to 808 of the family's 1533-position model. The record is from RNAcentral.
CAGUCGCCGCGGUAAUACGUAGGCCCCGAGCGUUGUCCGGAUUUAUUGGGCGUAAAGCGAGCGCAGGCGGUUUGAUAAGUCUGAAGUUAAAGGCUGUGGCUCAACCAUAGUUCGCUUUGGAAACUGUCAAACUUGAGUGCAGAAGGGGAGAGUGGAAUUCCAUGUGUAGCGGUGAAAUGCGUAGAUAUAUGGAGGAACACCGGUGGCGAAAGCGGCUCUCUGGUCUGUAACUGACGCUGAGGCUCGAAAGCGUGGGGAGCGAACAGGAUUAGAUACCCGAGUAGUCCCUGUCUCUUAUACA